This 356-nucleotide long non-coding RNA is filed under the name Arabidopsis thaliana (thale cress). RNAcentral's name for it is "long non-coding RNA (ATHA_LNC000237)". Lineage: Eukaryota; Viridiplantae; Streptophyta; Magnoliopsida; Brassicales; Brassicaceae. The record is from RNAcentral.
GAUCCUUCACUUCUCUCAAACUACGAAAACUAUGGCUUCAAAAUCCGUCGUCGUUUUGCUCUUCCUCGCUCUCAUAGCUUCAUCAGCCAUAGCUCAAGCUCCAGGACCAGCUCCAACAAGAUCUCCUCUUCCAUCUCCUGCUCAACCUCCAAGAACCGCCGCACCAACUCCUUCAAUCACACCAACUCCAACUCCAACACCAUCCGCUACUCCCACGGCGGCUCCAGUUUCUCCUCCGGCUGGUUCACCACUUCCCUCCUCCGCUUCACCACCCGCUCCUCCAACUUCUCUCACUCCUGAUGGUGCACCUGUCGCUGGUCCGACUGGAUCCACUCCCGUCGAUAACAACAACGCCG